AGUGAACGCUGGCGGUAGGCCUAACACAUGCAAGUCGAACGGCAGCACAGUAAGAGCUUGCUCUUACGGGUGGCGAGUGGCGGACGGGUGAGGAAUACAUCGGAAUCUACUUUUUCGUGGGGGAUAACGUAGGGAAACUUACGCUAAUACCGCAUACGACCUACGGGUGAAAGCAGGGGAUCUUCGGACCUUGCGCGAUUGAAUGAGCCGAUGUCGGAUUAGCUAGUUGGCGGGGUAAAGGCCCACCAAGGCGACGAUCCGUAGCUGGUCUGAGAGGAUGAACCGCCACACUGGAACUGAGAAACGGUCCAGACUCCUAAGGGAGGCAGCAGUGGGGAAUAUUGGACAAUGGGCGAAAGCCUGAUCCAGCCAUACCGCGUGGGUGAAGAAGGCCUUCGGGUUGUAAAGCCCUUUUGUUGGGAAAGAAAAGCAGCAGGUUAAUACCCCGCUGUUCUGACGGUACCCAAAGAAUAAGCACCGGCUAACUUCGUG
This 492-nucleotide ribosomal RNA is filed under the name uncultured bacterium. RNAcentral's name for it is "partial 16S ribosomal RNA". It matches the Rfam family "Bacterial small subunit ribosomal RNA", at positions 29 to 507 of the family's 1533-position model. The record is from RNAcentral.